RNAcentral lists this ribosomal RNA (674 nucleotides) under uncultured Actinomycetes bacterium. RNAcentral describes it as "bacterial SSU rRNA". It matches the Rfam family "Bacterial small subunit ribosomal RNA", at positions 679 to 1352 of the family's 1533-position model. The record is from RNAcentral. Lineage: Bacteria; Bacillati; Actinomycetota; Actinomycetes.
CGGUGGAAUGCGCAGAUAUCAGGAGGAACACCGGUGGCGAAGGCGGGUCUCUGGGCAGUAACUGACGCUGAGGAGCGAAAGCGUGGGGAGCGAACAGGAUUAGAUACCCUGGUAGUCCACGCCGUAAACGGUGGGUACUAGGUGUGGGUUUCCUUCCUUGGGAUCCGUGCCGUAGCUAACGCAUUAAGUACCCCGCCUGGGGAGUACGGCCGCAAGGCUAAAACUCAAAGGAAUUGGCGGGGGCCCGCACAAGCGGCGGAGCAUGUGGAUUAAUUCGAUGCAACGCGAAGAACCUUACCUGGGUUUGACAUGCACAGGACGCUGGUAGAGAUAUCAGUUCCCUUGUGGCCUGUGUGCAGGUGGUGCAUGGCUGUCGUCAGCUCGUGUCGUGAGAUGUUGGGUUAAGUCCCGCAACGAGCGCAACCCUUGUCCUGUGUUGCCAGCGGGUUAUGCCGGGGACUCGCAGGAGACUGCCGGGGUCAACUCGGAGGAAGGUGGGGAUGACGUCAAGUCAUCAUGCCCCUUAUGUCCAGGGCUUCACACAUGCUACAAUGGCCGGUACAAAGGGCUGCGAUGCCGUGAGGCUUAGCGAAUCCUUUAAAGCCGGUCUCAGUUCGGAUCGGGGUCUGCAACUCGACCCCGUGAAGUCGGAGUCGCUAGUAAUCGCAGAUCAG